GCUUGACGGGUACGGGGAUUAGGGUUCGAUUCCGGAGAGGGAGCCUGAGAAACGGCUACCACAUCUAAGGAAGGCAGCAGGCGCGCAAAUUACCCAAUCCUAAUACAGGGAGGUAGUGACAAGAAAUAACAAUACGGAACCUUACGGUUUUGUAAUUGGAAUGAGUUAAGCAUAAACCCCUUAACAAAUAUCAAUUGAAGGGCAAGUCUGGUGCCAACAGCCGCGGUAAUUCCAACUCCAAUAGCGUAUAUGAAAGUUGUUGCAGUUAAAAAGCUCGUAAUUAAUCUUCUGUUAAUUUUUAUAUAUAAUAUCACGAUAUUUAUAUAAUAUUAACAUAAUUCAUAUUACUUUUUAAUAUAUGAAACUUUACUUUGAUAAAAUUAUAGUGCUUAUAGCAGGCUAUUGCCUUGAAUACUCCAUCAUGGAAUAAUAUUAACGAUAUUUAUUCUUCUUAUUGGUUCUAGAAUAGAAAUGAUGAUUAAUACGGACAGUUGGGGGCAUUUGUAUUUAACAGUCAGAGGUGAAUUCCUUA
Molecule: ribosomal RNA, 532 nt
Filed under: Cryptosporidium bovis
Lineage: Eukaryota; Apicomplexa; Conoidasida; Eucoccidiorida; Cryptosporidiidae
Description: SSU rRNA
Rfam family: Eukaryotic small subunit ribosomal RNA
Source: RNAcentral